RNAcentral lists this ribosomal RNA (458 nucleotides) under uncultured bacterium. RNAcentral describes it as "partial 16S ribosomal RNA". It matches the Rfam family "Bacterial small subunit ribosomal RNA", at positions 338 to 795 of the family's 1533-position model. The record is from RNAcentral.
CCUACGGGAGGCAGCAGUGGGGAAUAUUGCACAAUGGGGGAAACCCUGAUGCAGCGACGCCGCGUGAGUGAAGAAGUAAUUCGUUACGUAAAGCUCUAUCAGCAGGGAAGAAAUACUGACCUUACGGUCAUCAGCCGGUACCUGAGUAAGAAGCCCCUGCUAACUACGUGCCAGCAGCCGCGGUAAUACGAAGGGGGCCAGCGUUGUUCGGAAUUACUGGGCGUAAAGGGUGUGUAGGCGGGAAAGUAAGAUAGUGGUGAAAUGCCUGAGCUCAACUUGGGAACUGCCAUUAUAACUAUUUGUCUAGAGUGACAGAGAGGAGAUUGGAAUACCCAGUGUAGAGGUGAAAUUCGUAGAUAUUGGGUAGAACACCGGAGGCGAAGGCGAGUAGCUGGCUGUCAACUGACGCUGAGGCACGAAAGCAUGGGGAUCAAACAGGAUUAGAUACCCUGGUAGUC